CCUACGGGAGGCAGCAGUGAGGAAUAUUGGUCAAUGGGCGGAAGCCUGAACCAGCCAAGUAGCGUGCAGGAUGACGGCCCUACGGGUUGUAAACUGCUUUUAUACGGGAAUAACGCGCCUUACGUGUAGGGUUUUGCAUGUACCGUAUGAAUAAGGACCGGCUAAUUCCGUGCCAGCAGCCGCGGUAAUACGGAAGGUCCGGGCGUUAUCCGGAUUUAUUGGGUCUAAGGGGAGCGUAGGCCGCAUGUCAAGCGUGCUGUGAAAUGUCCGGGCUCAACCCGGGCCUUGCAGCGCGAACUGGCGUGCUUGAGUCCGCGGAAAGCAGGCGGAAUUCGUCGUGUAGCGGUGAAAUGCUUAGAUAUGACGAAGAACCCCGAUUGCGAAGGCAGCUUGCUGCAGCGGAACUGACGCUGAUGCUCGAAAGCGCGGGUAUCGAACAGGAUUAGAUACCCUAGUAGUC
RNAcentral lists this ribosomal RNA (460 nucleotides) under uncultured bacterium. RNAcentral describes it as "partial 16S ribosomal RNA". It matches the Rfam family "Bacterial small subunit ribosomal RNA", at positions 338 to 795 of the family's 1533-position model. The record is from RNAcentral.